CAAACUUGCCAGCACUUUUUUUCCUGUUACUGAAGGUUGAGUCUGGACCCUGACUUAGUUGAAAUCAAGAACAUUCCAUUGUGGAUUUGUGGGUGAUUUUUGCAUUUCAGGAAAGUAGGAAAUUAGCUCUUAUGGUUAAUUUGUCCUUUUGUUCUAGAAAGAACUAUUUUGAUGAGGAUUUUCUUUCUUUUUUUAAGUCAUCAGGUAUAAGGCUAGAUGUCAUGGGGACAACAAUCCAGAAGAGGUCAUCUCUCCUGGUCGCAUGUGAUGAACCAGUGUUUUACUGAGAGGUAGCUAGGAAGAGGUAGUGGUGAUGAGAAAGGCCAGUGGCAUGUGCAGCAGCUGAGACCUACCCGAAGCAUCAUUUUUAGCUCUGUAAUUCCCUCGUGUUAUGCCAGAGUCCUCAGUAGAUGCUGUUAAAAUGUUGCUGUUUUCACUGUGCUUUGGAGAAACACAAGGGACCUUGGGGAAAACAGGAGGAGCAGGAGUGAGAGACAAUGAGUAACAACCAGGAUGGAUUUGGAGAGGCUGGAGGACAUGGGAUGUCCAGGUUACACGAGCCUGGCCACAAGAGGACGUCUCUCAGACACUGUCAAUUCACCAUUUAAUAUUAGCAUGAGCCCUGUGUCAGGCUGGGAGAUGAAGAGACUCAGGUGCCAGUGACACCGUUUGCUCACAGGAGUCCAUUGUACCUGACACCAUCCUUGGAGCCAAUUUGAAUGGAGUUUCUAUCACUGACAACUCAGAGGCCAGAAUAAGGCGCUGUUUCACACUGACUCAGUGACCAAGGUGGAGGGCAGGGGCCAGGAAACCUCUCCCCGUCUCCCACCUGCUCUCGAAGCACUGCCUGCUGUGUGGCUGUAAUGCUAACAUUUACCGAAAGCCAGGCUCUGAAACUGCCUCUCGGUUUCCCACUCACCUGUUUGGAGGCGAUGGCAGCGGACUCCAAACACCUGGCGGGAUGUGCAGGGAGAUGUGGAAGAGCCUUGCGAUGUGCUCACCCGAGGCAGACGCUCUCAGGAGCACCUGGUCUCCAUGCUCCUCCAUCCGAAGCCCCGGCCACCGUCCUGCCUAAGGCUUGUGAUCCCAGGAUCUGAUGUCCCAAAGAACUCUGGCCCAGAGGCCCCAGAAUCCACCCAUGUAAUGCCCACCCUUCCCAGACGAGGAAACUGAGGUCCCAAGAAGGCAAACUACUGGUGCAGGGGCGACAGAGCCAGAUGAGAGUGAGGCUGAAGCUGGCCUGCCCGCUCUCCACCAGGAUCAGUAGCCAUUUCUAGUUCCUCACCCCCAUCUCUACUUUGGAGUGGUGAGGCUUCAGAUGCUCUAUCUGGAAGAAUUCGGGAGCAUCUGAGAAAAGCAGAGGCGAGACAGCAUCCAGAAGAGAAACUGCAGUGGUGAGGCUGACCCAGGAAGAGGCAUCAGAACCACUGGUCAAGUGGGAAGUAAGUCAAGCAUGUCCCAGAAAAAAUCAACCCUGCACCUUGUGGUUUUCUGGAACAAGCUCUAGCAUAAUUUACAUAGCCAAAUGAUACAAAAGAAAAUUAGCUUCUCAAAGUUAG
Molecule: non-coding RNA, 1559 nt
Organism: Vicugna pacos (alpaca)
Lineage: Eukaryota; Metazoa; Chordata; Mammalia; Artiodactyla; Camelidae
Source: RefSeq, a predicted model, not a curated record